RNAcentral lists this ribosomal RNA (491 nucleotides) under uncultured bacterium. Its description in RNAcentral is "partial 16S ribosomal RNA". It matches the Rfam family "Bacterial small subunit ribosomal RNA", at positions 29 to 507 of the family's 1533-position model. The record is from RNAcentral.
AGUGAACGCUGGCGGUAGGCCUAACACAUGCAAGUCGAACGGCAGCACAGUAAGAGCUUGCUCUUACGGGUGGCGAGUGGCGGACGGGUGAGGAAUACAUCGGAAUCUACUUUUUCGUGGGUGAUAACGUAGGGCAACUUACGCUAAUACCGCAUACGACCUACGGGUGAAAGCAGGGGAUCUUCGGACCUUUCGCGAUUGAAUGAGCCGAUGUCGGAUUGGCUAGUUGGCGGGGUAAAGGACCACCAUGGCGACGAUCCGUAGCUGGUCUGAGGGGAUGAUCAGCCACACGGGAAAGAGGAAACGGUCCAGACGCCGACGGGGGCAGCAGUGGGGAAUAUUGGACAAUGGGCGCAAGCCUGAUCCAGCCAUACCGCGUGAGUGAAGAAGGCCUUCGGGUUGUAAAGCCCUGUUGUUGGGAAAGAAAAGAAGCAGGUUAAUACCCCGCUGUUCUGACGGUACCCAAAGAAUAAGCACCGGCUAACUUCGUG